UACGUAGGGUGCGAGCGUUGUCCGGAAUUAUUGGGCGUAAAGAGCUCGUAGGCGGUCUGUCGCGUCGAUCGUGAAAACUUGGGGCUUAACUCUGAGCUUGCGGUCGAUACGGGCAUGACUGGAGUUCGGCAGGGGAGACUGGAAUUCCUGGUGUAGCGGUGAAAUGCGCAGAUAUCAGGAGGAACACCGGUGGCGAAGGCGGUUCUCUGGGCAUGAUCUGACGCUGAGGAGCGAAAGUGUGGGGAGCGAACAGG
This 254-nucleotide ribosomal RNA is filed under the name uncultured bacterium. RNAcentral describes it as "partial 16S ribosomal RNA". It matches the Rfam family "Bacterial small subunit ribosomal RNA", at positions 524 to 776 of the family's 1533-position model. The record is from RNAcentral.